Carica papaya (papaya) is the source of this 1559-nucleotide non-coding RNA. The record is from RefSeq and is a predicted model, not a curated record. Lineage: Eukaryota; Viridiplantae; Streptophyta; Magnoliopsida; Brassicales; Caricaceae.
CAAUAAUCAUGCUGUUAGAAGGUCUUCUUCUAGUCAAAACCAUAGAUCAGCAUAUUUUUCCAAUCGUAACCUUCAGAGUACCUUUGACCAUCAUGGUUCGAACUCUAGAGUACAAAAUGCAUUUGAAGAUAGAUAUGAUCCAUCUGAAUCAAAUGAUUUGUAUGAAGAUGAUAUCUUCAAUGGCCGGAAGUUAGGCUAGAAUAAUAAAGUUUUAGAGUACUAGAAAUGCUGUGUAAAACCAUGAACUUUGCUAUUCUAUAAAGAGCAUUAUCCAGGGUGCUGUAUAAAUUCAUGAGCUUUGCGGGUAAGAAGUUAUCAAGCUUCAGCUUUAUGCAAACUUGUAUCCUCCUCUGUAUCCUUGAUUAUUUUAUUGUUUGCUUUUAAUCUUCCAGAAAACUUGGUAGCAAUUAUUUCUUUCUCCUCAUCUUCAUUUAUUAGAAAAUAAUGGAAAUGAUGGGUAUCAAUAUUAGGAUAUCAACUUCAUCAUAUCACUUAUAACACAAGAGUACUCGUUCAUUAUAUUGGGACUGUCUGUAUUUUAGUCACUGCCUUUUUUAUCAUUGUGAUCACUUGCUAUGGUUUUCUUUUGUUAAUUCUUAAGGUACAAGGAUGAAGUUAAUUGGAGUAAUUAAGAUAUUUGGGGAAAUUUUUAGUAAUUUGGGAAAUGGAUGAGCCAUGUCUUAUGAAUGUGCAUCUGAGUUGGACAAGCAGGAUAAUGAUUCAGUAUGCACCUUUAGCUUCAUUUUUAAAUUUUAAAUUGGACAAGAUGACUUGCUACCAGGUUUUUGCUAGAACUUUCUACAGAUUUUAUCUGCAGGAUGGAACUCCAUUUCAGACUAAUAAGAGAUUUUUACUUGUUUAACUCUCAUAGCUGGUUCCAAAUUAAAAAGUCAUUUUUAUAUUCCAACAAUUCUUUUGCUGUUUCGCUGGUCAUUUACAAUCUGUACUAUGAAUUCUCUGUAAUCAAUUGUUUGUCUAACCUUGUGGAAGCCAAAAAAUUUCCAAAACACUCUUCAGAGAACAGUAUACUGCAUGUUGAUAGGCUAAGGUAGUAGUUUGUAUAUGCUAUUGUAUUUCAAAUGAUAUUCUCAUGAGUUAAUUCUUCUUUUAGGAUGUAUCUUUUUGGGGGUUCUCUAAAUUCUAGAUGGAGGUUGCUUGCACAUAUGGAAGUAGUUCCCACAUUCAUACUGGAUUUGCAGGAACCAUUUGUUACAAGGCGGUUGAAAGAAAUCUUGAUGAUGGCCUUCCCAAACUGGUUGAUUUUGUUUUUAAAGACAAAACGGCAUGGUAUACCUUUCUUCCUAUGUAUUCACCUUGUGUUGUUUGAUAUCAUCCCAGGUGGCUAUUCUGCUGACAGACAUAACAAGGUAGCCAUAGUAUUAGCAGCAACUUGGUGACUUUUAUGUAAAAUGGAUGAUAUGGUAUACUUCCCUCUUCUCAAGAAAUCUUUACUUAUCUGAACAACCUUAGACUUGUUAGCUUGCUUUUGUAAAUCAUCUUCUUUUAAUCAACACGUGCAAGAAUGUAAUAUUUUGUUGUCUAUAUAAGGUAAUAUCAUA